AUUGAACGCUGGCGGCAGGCCUAACACAUGCACGUCGAGCGAGCGGCGGACGGGUGAGUAAUGUCUGGGAAACUGCCUGAUGGCGGGGGAUAUCUACUGGAAACGGUAGCUAAUACCGCAUACCAUCAGAUUUGCCCAGAUGGGAUUAGCUAGUAGGUGGGGUAACGGAUCACCUAGGCGACGAUCCCUAGCUGGUCUGAGAGGAUGACCAGGGACAAUGGAACGGAGACACGGUCCAGACGGGUAAGGGAGGCAGGAGGGGGGAAUAUUGCACAAGGGGCGAAAGCCUGAUGCAGCAAUGCGGGGUGUGUGAAGAAGGAGUUCGGGUUGGAAAGCACUGUCAGCGGGGAGGCGUUACCCGAAGAAGAAGCACCGGCUAACUCCGUGCCAGCCGCCGCGGUAAUAC
RNAcentral lists this ribosomal RNA (406 nucleotides) under uncultured bacterium. RNAcentral describes it as "partial 16S ribosomal RNA". It matches the Rfam family "Bacterial small subunit ribosomal RNA", at positions 29 to 526 of the family's 1533-position model. The record is from RNAcentral.